GGGGAUGCAGCUCAGUGGUAGAGCGCUUGCCUAGCAUGCAUGAAGUCCUGGGUUCCAUCCCCAGCACCACAA
RNAcentral lists this transfer RNA (72 nucleotides) under Marmota marmota marmota (Alpine marmot). It matches the Rfam family "tRNA". From Rfam's summary of the family: Transfer RNA (tRNA) molecules are approximately 80 nucleotides in length. Their secondary structure includes four short double-helical elements and three loops (D, anti-codon, and T loops). The record is from Rfam by way of RNAcentral. Lineage: Eukaryota; Metazoa; Chordata; Mammalia; Rodentia; Sciuridae. RNAcentral also lists the same sequence under 1 other name.